GACGAACGCUGGCGGCGUGCUUAACACAUGCAAGUCGAGCGGGGAACUUCGGUUCCCAGCGGCGGACGGGUGAGUAACACGUGGGCAACCUGCCUCAUAGUGGGGAAUAGCCUUCCGAAAGGAAGAUUAAUACCGCAUAAUACUCGGAAAUCACAUGAUUUCUGAGCCAAAGGAUUUAUUCGCUAUGAGAUGGACCCGCGGCGCAUUAGCUUGUGGGUGAGGUAACGGCUCACCAAGGCUUCGAUGCGUAGCCGACCUGAGAGGGUGAUCGGCCACAUUGGAACUGAGACACGGUCCAGACUCCUACGGGAGGCAGCAGUGGGGAAUAUUGCACAAUGGGGGAAACCCUGAUGCAGCAACGCCGCGUGAGUGAUGAAGGUCUUCGGGUCGUAAAACUCUGUCUUAUGGGACGAUAAUGACGGUACCAUAGGAGGAAGCCACGGCUAACUACGUGCCAGCCGCCGCCGUAA
This 470-nucleotide ribosomal RNA is filed under the name uncultured bacterium. RNAcentral describes it as "partial 16S ribosomal RNA". It matches the Rfam family "Bacterial small subunit ribosomal RNA", at positions 28 to 523 of the family's 1533-position model. The record is from RNAcentral.